GGCCGACUAGCUCAGUUGGUUAGAGCGUCGUGCUAAUAGAGACAUCUAUUGACGCGAAGGUCUUGGGUUCGACCCCCACGUUGGCCA
Non-coding RNA from Gymnopus androsaceus JB14, 87 nucleotides. NCBI's taxonomy places the organism in Eukaryota, Fungi, Basidiomycota, Agaricomycetes, Agaricales, Omphalotaceae. The record is from the annotation of a GenBank genome assembly.